CUAGCCAUAAACGAUGGUCACUAGGUGUGGGUGGUGGUCAAGCCAUCCGUGCCGGAGCUAACGCAAUAAGUGACCCACCUGGGGAGUACGGCCGCAAGGCUGAAACUCAAAGGAAUUGAC
This 120-nucleotide ribosomal RNA is filed under the name uncultured bacterium. RNAcentral's name for it is "partial 16S ribosomal RNA". It matches the Rfam family "Bacterial small subunit ribosomal RNA", at positions 796 to 914 of the family's 1533-position model. The record is from RNAcentral.